Molecule: ribosomal RNA, 1385 nt
Filed under: Microbacteriaceae bacterium MI-5.1 P16
Lineage: Bacteria; Bacillati; Actinomycetota; Actinomycetes; Micrococcales; Microbacteriaceae
Description: 16S ribosomal RNA
Rfam family: Bacterial small subunit ribosomal RNA
Source: RNAcentral
AGUCGAACGAUGAAGCCCAGCUUGCUGGGUGGAUUAGUGGCGAACGGGUGAGUAACACGUGAGUAACCUGCCCUUGACUCUGGGAUAAGCACUGGAAACGGUGUCUAAUACCGGAUAUUUCAGCUGGCCGCAUGGUCUGGUUGUGGAAAGAAUUUUGGUCAAGGAUGGACUCGCGGCCUAUCAGGUUGUUGGUGAGGUAAUGGCUCACCAAGCCUACGACGGGUAGCCGGCCUGAGAGGGUGACCGGCCACACUGGGACUGAGACACGGCCCAGACUCCUACGGGAGGCAGCAGUGGGGAAUAUUGCACAAUGGGCGAAAGCCUGAUGCAGCAACGCCGCGUGAGGGACGACGGCCUUCGGGUUGUAAACCUCUUUUAGUAGGGAAGAAGCGAAAGUGACGGUACCUGCAGAAAAAGCACCGGCUAACUACGUGCCAGCAGCCGCGGUAAUACGUAGGGUGCAAGCGUUGUCCGGAAUUAUUGGGCGUAAAGAGCUCGUAGGCGGUUUGUCGCGUCUGCUGUGAAAACUGGAGGCUCAACCUCCAGCCUGCAGUGGGUACGGGCAGACUAGAGUGCGGUAGGGGAGAUUGGAAUUCCUGGUGUAGCGGUGGAAUGCGCAGAUAUCAGGAGGAACACCGAUGGCGAAGGCAGAUCUCUGGGCCGUAACUGACGCUGAGGAGCGAAAGCAUGGGGAGCGAACAGGAUUAGAUACCCUGGUAGUCCAUGCCGUAAACGUUGGGAACUAGAUGUGGGGGCCAUUCCACGGUCUCCGUGUCGCAGCUAACGCAUUAAGUUCCCCGCCUGGGGAGUACGGCCGCAAGGCUAAAACUCAAAGGAAUUGACGGGGGCCCGCACAAGCGGCGGAGCAUGCGGAUUAAUUCGAUGCAACGCGAAGAACCUUACCAAGGCUUGACAUAUACGAGAACGGGCCAGAAAUGGUCAACUCUUUGGACACUCGUAAACAGGUGGUGCAUGGUUGUCGUCAGCUCGUGUCGUGAGAUGUUGGGUUAAGUCCCGCAACGAGCGCAACCCUCGUUCUAUGUUGCCAGCACGUUAUGGUGGGAACUCAUAGGAGACUGCCGGGGUCAACUCGGAGGAAGGUGGGGAUGACGUCAAAUCAUCAUGCCCCUUAUGUCUUGGGCUUCACGCAUGCUACAAUGGCCGGUACAAAGGGCUGCAAUACCGUAAGGUGGAGCGAAUCCCAAAAAGCCGGUCUCAGUUCGGAUUGAGGUCUGCAACUCGACCUCAUGAAGUCGGAGUCGCUAGUAAUCGCAGAUCAGCAACGCUGCGGUGAAUACGUUCCCGGGCCUUGUACACACCGCCCGUCAAGUCAUGAAAGUCGGUAACACCCAACGCCAGUGGCCUAACCUUCGGGAGGGAGCUUC